UUAACGCGAAAGACCUUACCAGGUCUUGACAUCCCUUGCUAAUCCUAGAAAUAGGACGUUCCCUUCGGGGACAAGGUGACAGGUGGUGCAUGGUUGUCGUCAGCUCGUGUCGUGAGAUGUUGGGUUAAGUCCCGCAACGAGCGCAACCCUUAUUAUUAGUUGCCAGCAUUUAGUUGGGCACUCUAGUGAGACUGCCGGUGACAAACCGGAGGAAGGUGGGGAUGACGUCAAAUCAUCAUGCCCCUUAUGACCUGGGCUACACACGUGCUACAAUGGCAUAUACAACGAGUCGCCAACCCGCGAGGGUGCGCUAAUCUCUUAAAGUAUGUCUCAGUUCGGAUUGUAGGCUGCAACUCGCCUACAUGAAGUCGGAAUCGCUAGUAAUCGCGGAUCAGCACGCCGCGGUGAAUACGUUCCCGGGUCUGUACACACCGA
This 435-nucleotide ribosomal RNA is filed under the name uncultured Weissella sp. Its description in RNAcentral is "bacterial SSU rRNA". It matches the Rfam family "Bacterial small subunit ribosomal RNA", at positions 956 to 1393 of the family's 1533-position model. The record is from RNAcentral. Lineage: Bacteria; Bacillati; Bacillota; Bacilli; Lactobacillales; Lactobacillaceae.